This 478-nucleotide small RNA is filed under the name Pan troglodytes (chimpanzee). RNAcentral's name for it is "retained intron". The record is from RNAcentral. Lineage: Eukaryota; Metazoa; Chordata; Mammalia; Primates; Hominidae.
UUUUAUGAAUUCCUUCCCAUUUCCUCAGAUAGCUCACCUGAUCCCUCUGCACGUGCUGAGCCCUCUUCAAACACCCUUUCUGGACCCUCUAGGUUGCUUAUGGAACCACAGAGAACAGUCCCGUGACAUUCGCGCACUUCCCUGAGGACACUGUGGAGCAGAAGGCAGAAAGCGUGGGCAGAAUUAUGCCUCACACGGAGGCCCGGAUCAUGAACAUGGAGGCAGGGACGCUGGCAAAGCUGAACACGCCCGGGGAGCUGUGCAUCCGAGGGUACUGCGUCAUGCUGGGCUACUGGGGUGAGCCUCAGAAGACAGAGGAAGCAGUGGAUCAGGACAAGUGGUAUUGGACAGGAGAUGUCGCCACAAUGAAUGAGCAGGGCUUCUGCAAGAUCGUGGGCCGCUCUAAGGAUAUGAUCAUCCGGGGUGGUGAGAACAUCUACCCCGCAGAGCUGGAGGACUUCUUUCACACACACCCGAA